RNAcentral lists this ribosomal RNA (164 nucleotides) under Bacillus stratosphericus. RNAcentral's name for it is "partial 16S ribosomal RNA". It matches the Rfam family "Bacterial small subunit ribosomal RNA", at positions 1 to 164 of the family's 1533-position model. The record is from RNAcentral. Lineage: Bacteria; Bacillati; Bacillota; Bacilli; Caryophanales; Bacillaceae.
UCGGAGAGUUUGAUCCUGGCUCAGGACGAACGCUGGCGGCGUGCCUAAUACAUGCAAGUCGAGCGGACAGAAGGGAGCUUGCUCCCGGAUGUUAGCGGCGGACGGGUGAGUAACACGUGGGUAACCUGCCUGUAAGACUGGGAUAACUCCGGGAAACCGGAGCU